This 253-nucleotide ribosomal RNA is filed under the name uncultured bacterium. RNAcentral's name for it is "partial 16S ribosomal RNA". It matches the Rfam family "Bacterial small subunit ribosomal RNA", at positions 524 to 776 of the family's 1533-position model. The record is from RNAcentral.
UACGUAGGGUGCGAGCGUUGUCCGGAAUUAUUGGGCGUAAAGGGCUCGUAGGCGGUUUGUCGCGUCGGGAGUGAAAACCUUGGGCUUAACUCAGGGCUUGCUUUCGAUACGGGCAGACUAGAGGUAUGCAGGGGAGAACGGAAUUCCUGGUGUAGCGGUGAAAUGCGCAGAUAUCAGGAGGAACACCUAUGGCGAAGGCAGCUCUCUGGGACGGUACUGACGCUGAGACGCGAAAGCGUGGGGAGCGAACAGG